RNAcentral lists this small nuclear RNA (164 nucleotides) under Prolemur simus (greater bamboo lemur). Its description in RNAcentral is "U1 spliceosomal RNA (ENSPSMG00000013029.1)". It matches the Rfam family "U1 spliceosomal RNA". From Rfam's summary of the family: U1 is a small nuclear RNA (snRNA) component of the spliceosome (involved in pre-mRNA splicing). Its 5' end forms complementary base pairs with the 5' splice junction, thus defining the 5' donor site of an intron. The record is from Rfam by way of RNAcentral. Lineage: Eukaryota; Metazoa; Chordata; Mammalia; Primates; Lemuridae.
AUACUUGCCUGGCAGGGGAGAUACCAUGACCAGGAAGGUAGUUUUCCCAGGGUGAGGCUCAUCCAUUGCACUCCAGAUGUGCUGACCCCUGUGAUUUUCCCAAAUGUGGGAAACUCAACUGCAUAAUUCAUGGUAGUGGGGUACUGCGCUUGCAUAUUCCCCUG